RNA transcript from Homo sapiens (human), 13164 nucleotides. It is a transcript of the gene named acyl-CoA oxidase 3, pristanoyl, with no coding region annotated. The record is from RefSeq and is marked validated. The transcript is spliced from 19 exons. Lineage: Eukaryota; Metazoa; Chordata; Mammalia; Primates; Hominidae.
AGUGGGGCCAGGCCAGAGACAGCUGCGCUGUGCGGGCAGCUAGUCCCAGUACUCCGAGUCGGUCGCGGGCCGACAGGCAUCCCCUGAGCGCCUGCUGGGCUCUUAUCACGCGAUGGCAUCCACUGUGGAAGGAGGCGACACAGCUCUGCUCCCAGAAUUCCCCAGGGGGCCCCUCGAUGCCUACCGAGCAAGAGCGUCCUUCAGCUGGAAGGAGCUGGCGCUGUUCACGGAAGGGGAGGGCAUGCUCCGCUUUAAGAAAACCAUCUUCUCAGCUCUUGAGAAUGACCCUCUUUUCGCUCGUUCCCCUGGAGCCGAUCUGUCCUUGGAGAAGUAUCGCGAGCUGAACUUCCUUCGAUGCAAGCGGAUCUUCGAGUAUGACUUCCUCAGUGUCGAAGACAUGUUCAAGAGCCCUCUGAAGGUCCCCGCCUUGAUUCAGUGCCUGGGCAUGUAUGACUCUUCUCUGGCUGCCAAGUACCUCCUCCAUAGCUUGGUUUUUGGAUCAGCAGUUUACAGUUCUGGUUCUGAAAGACAUCUCACAUAUAUUCAAAAGAUCUUCAGGAUGGAGAUUUUUGGAUGUUUUGCUCUGACCGAAUUAAGCCACGGCAGUAAUACCAAGGCCAUUCGCACAACUGCCCACUACGAUCCUGCCACUGAGGAAUUCAUCAUACAUUCCCCUGAUUUCGAAGCUGCCAAGUUUUGGGUUGGCAACAUGGGCAAGACAGCCACUCACGCGGUGGUGUUUGCUAAGCUGUGUGUGCCAGGGGACCAGUGCCAUGGGCUGCAUCCCUUUAUCGUGCAGAUCCGGGACCCGAAGACCCUUCUUCCCAUGCCUGGAGUGAUGGUUGGCGACAUAGGAAAAAAACUCGGGCAGAACGGUCUGGAUAAUGGUUUCGCCAUGUUCCACAAGGUCAGAGUUCCUCGCCAGAGCCUUCUGAACCGGAUGGGAGACGUCACCCCCGAGGGCACCUAUGUCAGCCCCUUUAAGGACGUCAGGCAGCGCUUUGGAGCGUCCCUGGGGAGCCUGUCCUCGGGCCGGGUCUCCAUCGUGAGCCUGGCCAUCCUUAACCUAAAGCUGGCCGUGGCCAUCGCUCUUCGCUUCUCAGCCACUCGGCGUCAGUUUGGACCCACAGAGGAGGAGGAAAUACCAGUGCUUGAGUAUCCAAUGCAGCAAUGGCGCUUGCUUCCAUAUCUGGCAGCUGUCUACGCCUUAGACCAUUUCUCCAAGUCGCUCUUCCUGGACCUGGUGGAGCUCCAGCGAGGACUUGCAUCGGGAGACCGCAGCGCCAGACAGGCAGAGCUUGGACGUGAGAUCCACGCCCUGGCAUCGGCCAGCAAGCCCCUGGCCUCGUGGACCACCCAGCAAGGAAUUCAGGAAUGCCGGGAGGCGUGUGGAGGACACGGCUAUCUGGCCAUGAACCGGUUGGGUGUCCUUAGAGAUGACAACGAUCCCAACUGCACAUACGAAGGUGACAACAACAUCCUGCUGCAGCAGACAAGCAACUAUUUGCUGGGUCUCCUGGCACACCAGGUCCACGAUGGAGCUUGCUUCCGCAGUCCGCUGAAGUCAGUGGACUUUCUGGACGCCUAUCCCGGCAUCCUUGACCAGAAGUUUGAGGUCUCCAGUGUUGCCGACUGCUUGGACUCUGCAGUCGCCCUGGCAGCAUACAAGUGGCUGGUUUGCUACCUGCUCCGAGAGACUUAUCAAAAAUUAAACCAAGAGAAAAGAUCAGGAAGCAGUGACUUUGAAGCAAGGAACAAAUGCCAGGUGUCCCACGGCCGUCCGUUGGCGCUGGCCUUCGUGGAGCUCACGGUGGUCCAGAGGUUCCACGAGCACGUGCACCAGCCUUCCGUGCCGCCCUCGCUGCGGGCCGUGCUGGGGCGGCUCAGUGCUCUGUACGCCCUGUGGUCCCUGAGCCGCCACGCGGCCCUGCUCUACCGAGGAGGAUACUUCUCCGGUGAGCAGGCGGGAGAAGUGUUGGAGAGCGCCGUCCUGGCUUUGUGUUCCCAGCUGAAAGACGAUGCAGUUGCCCUGGUAGACGUGAUCGCUCCUCCUGACUUUGUUCUGGACUCACCGAUUGGCAGAGCCGACGGCGAGCUCUACAAAAACCUCUGGGGCGCUGUCCUGCAGGAAAGCAAGGUGUUGGAGCGGGCAUCCUGGUGGCCAGAGUUUUCUGUGAACAAACCUGUCAUAGGAAGUCUGAAAUCGAAGCUCUAGUGGGACUGGCACACAUUCAGCCAAGUCUAAUGAAACGAAGGGAACUAAUCAGACGUGGACCUCAACUUCUGAUUCCAGAACACGCCGGAGAUUGCUGCUGCUUUCUGAGCCCGCACCUGUGCGCCUAAACUGCUGAUUGGCCUCAACUGCCCAGGCGGACGGGAGGGAGGCACCCGGCCGGCUGGACUAAUCUGGGAUCGCGGUGAUUUGCAGCGUGGAAAAGAAAUGCAGAUGAUCAUGUCUACCUGAUGCGCCGUGGGUUUUUUGAUAAUUAGAAUUUCGCACAUUCAGUUUUCAGGGUUCAGCUCCUUUCUCUAAAGUAAACAGCCCAUUGUCAGGGAUCUUCUGGUCAGACAACCUGUGAUUCAUCUAGAUUUUUUACCGAGCUCCACUUCAUUGAGAAGUCAAUGAUGCCAGUCUGGUUCUUUGUCAACUCUCCCUCGGCUUUGUCACAUAAUUGAAUUAUGUCAUAACCUUAUUAAUUUGCACAUAGAUCAUCUGAAUGUCGUGGUUUAAGACUUAAGGAGGAACAUCUGUUUGAUUACUUUCUUUUGUGGAACUGGAAAUUUCCAUCGAGGAAAUGUUUUUUUAAAAAGUCUAAUGAUUUGAAUGGGCAAUUCAGUCUCCAACCGCCCCCCUCCCCCUGCCGCCAGUUAUAUACAAAUCACUUUAUUGGUAACAUGUAUGAUCUGUUUGUCCCUGCAGAGUCUACCCAGCAAGUCCUUGCACACAUGUGGCCUGUCCCCAUGGCGCUGGCCACAGCCUGACUGCAGCAGACCGGGGCCAUCAGUGCACGCCUCCCCCGGUCACUCCUGCUCCCUGCAGGGCCAUGGGCUUGGCUGCCCUUCCCAGUGUUAGGUUCCCGGAGCAGUUCUGUCUUUGCAUCUGGGUCCUGCUUCUUAACCUCUGAUCAGCUCAGGGCACGGAAGGCCUUCGUCUUCAGUAGCAGGGAGUUGGGUCACUCUGGUGCCCCCUGACCCCCGUGGCCACACUCGUAUCACCACAGCCCAUCAAACAGAUGUAACCCAGCAUGUCUCAGGACGGUGCCGAACCAAAUAAGACCAGUUCUUAUUUUUCCAGGUAGCCCAGAGAACUUUUGAGCGUCUGAAGGGCAUGGUCCAGAAUGUUUUUAAAAACUGAAUUUCCAGCACUGGAAAUCACUUCUGAAGCCAUUUUCAUGUUAGAAAAGGGUCAGGACACCACCCCCCCACCACAUCCCACCCGUCUGGGGCUCCAGGGGCAUCUGAGGGGUAAUUAGUGACUUCUUUGAUGAUCACCUACCGCCUGCCAGCACCUUACUGAGCACUCAGGAUUCAUCAUCUCGUGGGACGCUCAGCCAACCGCGUGGGGUGAGCUGUGCCGUUUGCUGCAUCUGCAGAGAGGAGACUGGUCCCAAUAGGCUGGACACUGCCGCAGGCAGACAGCAGGAGGUGGCCGAGCGGGACCAGAAGCCAUGGGACCUCCCUGGUGCCUGAGUGCCCCAGCACAGGGCUGAGACGCAAUAGCAGGUCACAGAAGUUGUUCAAGGUCAAGGGUAUGUUCAAGGUUUACAGAAAAAAACACAUUUGACUUCGGUGUCAUAUAUGACGGGUUCUCAUGCAGGAGAGCUUUGUGAUGUCACGAUGUCACCAUGUCAGACACGACAGGUUCUCGUGCAGGAGAGCUCUGCGAUGCCUGUGGCCAUGAUGUCACCAUGUCAGACACAACGGGUUCUCGUGCAGGAGAGCUUUGCGAUGCCACGAUGUCACCAUGUCAGACACGACGGGUUCUCAUGCAGGAGAGCUUUGCGAUGCCACAAUGUCACCAUGUGGUUUGCAUUUUCAUAUCCACCUGUUGGAAAGGUCCUCAUUCGCCAACUGUGGGAGCUGGCACACUUUACUGGCAGUGUUGACAAAAAGCCAAGCUCUGUGAAAUAUUUGAAGAGGUUUAUUCUGAGCCAAAUGUGAAGACUAUGACCUGUGACACAGCCCUGGGAGGUCCUGAGAAUAGCUGCCUAAGAUUGCUGGGUUACAGCCUGAUUUUAUACAUUUUAAGGGGACAGAAGUUAGAGGCAGAGAGGUCAGUCAGUACAUGGAGAGUGCACAUUGGUUCAGCCCAGAAAGGUCUGAAAACAGGCUUCUAGGUAUAGGUGUGUUACAGGAAAAGGGACCCCAUCUGGACCCCAAGAGAGGGUUCUUGGAUCUCAUGCAAGAAAGAAUUCAGGGUGAAUCCAUAGAGUAAAGUGAAAGCAAGUUUAUUAAGAAAGUAAAGGAAUAGAAGAAUGGCUACUCCAUACAGCAGCCCCAAGGGCUGCUGGUUGCCCAUUUUUAUGGUUAUUUCUUGGUGAUAUAAUAAUCAAAGGGUGGAUUCGUGCCUCCCUGUUUUAGACCUUGUAGGGUAACUUCCUGACGUUGCCAUGGCAUUUGUAAACUGUCAUGGCGCUGGUGGGAGUGUAGCAGUGAGGACAACGAGAGGUUACUCUCAUGGCCAUCUUGGUUUUGGUGGGUUUUAGCCGACUUCCUUACUGCCACCCAUUUUAUCAGCAAGGUCUUUAUGACCUGCAUCCUGUGCCGACCUCAUCUCAUCCUGUGACUUAAUGCCUUAAGUGUCUGGGAAUGCAGCCCAGUAGGUCUCAGCCUCAUUUUACCCAGCUCCUAUUCAAGAUGGAGUUGCUCUGGUUCACAUGCCUCUGACAUUGCUCCCCUCCCUUUUAUAAGACAACCUUUAAUCCUAAGGGUUGCAGAGGGAUGAAGAUCCAUCUUCUGUAACUUCUUCAGGGUGAAUAGGGUCCAUGAUACUCCUGCCUAUUAAGGUCUCUUCUGUUCAGGGUAGAGAAGAGCUCAGCCAGAAAGCCUUGGAAUGGUGAGAGCCAUUCAUAACUCUUGAGUUCUCACAAAAGGUGAUAUAUGAAAGAUUAUUAAGUGUUUAAGAAAACAUUCAGUAAGCUUGUCCUAUAUUCCUACACAAAGAGUACAACAGCAAUAUAACAGAAUAAGCAAAGCUAUCCCAAGUGAACUAAAUUAGAAGGCUUUCCAUGAACUGGGCAUGUUGGAACUAAGCUGACAUGGGGCUGUUAGCUGAUUCUAAUGUGCCCAGAAUUAGAAUACUGAUCCAGAUGUUUACAUUAUCCAUCCCUCUUGUUUCUUCUGAGCAGCAGCCAGAGAUCACUGGUUGGUUCACAGGAAUAAGCAGGGUUAGCCUAAAUUGCAGAAACAAACUUAAAAACAACAAUGAAACUAGAAUUUAAGAAGUGUACCAUAGUUCUUGAAACAUAAUUUCUCUCUCUAGUUUCCCAUUUUCCAUUUUUACUAAAAACAAAUCUUGGUAAGACUGAUUUUAUUAUACUUGGCCUGAUUGUUUGUAUAAAGUACAGCAAGAAUAAUUAUUUUUCACAUAAGCUCUUUUUAAAUUGGCUUUGAUGGAACUGUGUUCCAUAGAAGGAAUCUCAGAUAAGACUUUUUUAGAGCCAGGCCCUGCCAUGGGUUUGUACCCUCAAAUACCUAUGAGUUGAGUAAAUUCCUCUCCUCUUGAGCCUCAAGAUAGCUUGGGGCUACUGGACCUGUCAGAAAGUGACAUUCUUCAUUUACCACAGGUCAGGAACCCCAUACAGGGACUGUGAAGACAAGGUAUGAGGCAUUUCGCCAAGGGGCUUUUAUUGGCUUUACAAGUCAAGUUUGAUUCCUUAAUGCAAAGCAUCCCAUUCCAGUUAAAGCCUUGGUAAAAUAACCAGUUUUUCCAAUUGUCUCCUGUUACAAAAGAAAUCAGAUGUUUAUUGCACUUAUGCAAAUAACUAUAUUGCCAUUAAAUUAAGAAUACUCACAAAUAGUUUCCAAAUUCUGGAGAAAACAGAGAAAUAUGCUCCAAAUUUUGUUCACAGGAGUAUAUUUUACUCAAUUGCUAAAAGCUGUACAUAGCUCAAAAGAAAAGUUUCCUUGACUCUGAGAAACGAAACAAAGGAUCAGCAACAUUUUAAGUAAAGUUAAAAACAUUACUUCAGUUUUUUAUUGGUUCAGUUAAUUUAGUUAACUCCUGUUUUGCUUGAUAUUCAUGAACAUUUCAGCUCUCUAUGAGAGUUCUGAAAGUUUUUCCUCCAUUCUAAUAUCACAAUUUCCAAAGUUAUUAAAAACCUGCGUUUAAGAACCCCUGUGAGAGCUCCAUAGUUGGUUAUAAACCACCUUCUAAAAAGGAUUAAAACAAGAUAACAAUUGUCUGUGGAUAACAAAAUAUUUUAGGGCAGCCACAAUCAAAAACAUGAAAUUUGGUUACCUUUGUGGCAUGCAAUGAUUUUAUGUAACAAUUAUAAUUAUUAAUAACAUACAGUAAGUCACAUUAGAAUUAGAGGAUUUUCCCAUACUUUUGGAACAUAUACCAAUAACACAUUUAUACAAAUAACAGCCCAAAGAAAACCAAACACCAUUUCACAUUUGAUAAUGCUUCCUGAGCAAUUUUUGUACCAAAUAAGCCAAACGUCACUCUUGCAUUAGUGCACUGUUGAUGUCAAAGCCAAUUAAUUCUUAAUGAAAUCUUAUAGACAAAUGUGUUCAAACUUAAUCAGUUUGGCCAUAAGGUAAGUUUCUCAUAAGCCUUUGAUAACCCUUUACACAUUUUUAUUAAAGAGCAGGUCAUAGGCAGGUUUUUGCUCGAAGAAAAAACCUGUUAUGCUUUUAUUCCCAUGUUCAGUUUACAGAAAAACUGAAUAAUACCCCUUUAACUUUAGCCCAUUUGUUCACACCCAGAAUUUUUUUACAAGAUUAACUUAUAACAAGCCUUCCACAACUUGCGUAAACCUUCAGCUUGAUUCUAAUUUAAAACAAUCCUUUUUUUUUUUUUUUUUUUUUUUUUUUUUUUUGAGAUAGAGUCUCCCUCUGUCACCCAGGCUGGAGUGCAGUGGCAUGAUCUCAGCUCACUGCGAGCUCCGCCUCCUGGGUUCACGCCUUUGUCCUGCCUCAGCCUCCUGAGUAGCUGGGACUACAGGCGCCCACAACCACGCCUGGCUAAUUUUUUUUUGCAUUUUUAGUAGAGACUGGGUUUCACCGUGUUAGCCAGGAUGGUCUUGAUCUCCUGACUUCAUGAUCCGCCCACCUCGGCCUCCCAAACUGCUGGGAUUACGGGCGUGAGCCACCGCGCCCGGCCUAAAACAAUUCUUUAACUCUUUAAUCUAGGUAAGAAAAAUCCACAUUUCCAUGUGUUCUUAUAAUCUUUUACCAAAAGACACAUUUCACUUUUCUUACACAUCUUGCAUGUAAAACUGUUUUUUUUAGCAGUCUUAAUUACAUGUGACGAUGUUAAUUGUUAGUGACUUUUACUCUUGGUGAAAACCUUGGUAAGUUGGGGAUUCUAAUUGUGUACCAGGUGUGGAAUUUAGCCUAGGACACACCAGGCAGAAGUGCAGAUAAGGGGGCUGACUCCAGCAUAGCUAGGGGCGUGGCUAACUCCACAUGUCCCUGGCCUUAUCUAGAAUCUAAUGCUCCAGAGUAGGAAACUGAAUAAUUUUUAAAAGUCAGGUUGGGCGCAGUGGCUCACCCUUGUAAUCCCAGCACUUUGGGAGGCCAAGGCAGGUGGAUCACAAGGUCAGGAGAUUGAGACCAUCCUGGCUAACACAGUGAAACCCUGUAUCUACUAAAAAUACAAAAAAAUUAGCCAGGCGUGGUGGCGGGUGCCUGUAGUCCCACCUACUCGGGAGGCUGAGGCAGGAGAAUGGCAUGAACCCAGGAGGCGGAGCUUGCAAUGAGCCGAGAUCGCACCACUGCCCUCCAGCCUGGGCAACAGAGUAAAACUCUGUCUCAAAAAAAAAAAAAAAAAGUCAAAGAAGCAGUUUAUGACCUUAAAGCAUUUAGCAAACUUAAUAUCUCACCUGCAUAAUUUAGACCAAAUGUUUACAUGUUUGAAGAUAUUUUUAUUUUGCCAAUAAUCUUUAAAACUCCUUAUUUCCCAAAGAUUACUUCAGUCACAUGAACUAAAAGGCAUUACACUUUUUACUUUUCUGACAAAAUAUUUAAGCACUUAUUUUUAAACCAAUUAGUUAAAGCUCUUUCAUUCAUAAACAUCACACACAUAAUACAUAUAAAUACAUAGAAGAUAAAGAACUUAUUUUCCAAGCCAGGAAUUGAACCCUGAACCUGGGCCACCAUUGUGAAAAGAGAAAGCAUGGCCACAUGGUUACAAGGUCAAGCUCCCAAGAACAUAGAAGACAAGAAGGAAACCUCAUCCAGUUUUUUGAGGGACCUGCAGCAAAGUUUGUAAUUGACCAGUUUGCUGAGCUGUCUUGAAAAGCAGGCUUAAAGGUGUCCUAAGUCCGUGCUCUAUCCUAAGGUACUCCUCUUUAUGACAGAGCAAUACAGAAAGACACAGAAAGCACACCAGACCUGGUUGGCUACAGCUUAAGACUAGCCUCACAAAUCCUUUAUUCCAUUAAUCAAAACUUUACAGGAGAUAAACAAUUAUUUUUUACAAUUUAUUCAACCAGUUUGCACAGAGAGAGAAAAGCAUUGCCUGAGGCAGGAUGGGGAAGGCGAGGCGCUCAGGGAGGUCAGAGAAAGACCCAUCCAUUGCAGCAACACUGAAAAGUUUAGGUGGCUGCUUGUCAGUCAUGAAGGGAUCUUUUCCAGCAGUCCCGUCAGCUCCCAAGUUUCCCCGUUUAAGGAGGAAAAAACUCCCCAAGUCCUACAAUCCUGUACGUGGCUAAUUCUGUCACUCACAGCCAUCAGCAAAGAGUGCAAGGCAGAUUAAUCCCAAGAGAAUAGCAGUUAACAUCCCAUAGUGCCAAACCUGCUCUUAGCCAGAAGCGACUUUACUGAGAGGGACCUUACUGAGAGGGGCCUCUAACCCCCUAAAUCUGAGAAGGGACUCUAACCCUCCUGAGUUGGGCCUCUAACCCAAGGUUGAGCAAGCGUCCUUACCUUUCCUUAAGAGGGGCCUCUAACCCACUGUGUCUUAGGACAGACUCUAACUCCCCUACGUUGGGCCUCUAACCCAAUCCCAUCCUUUACCCAGGUACCCCACCACUUAUUCAAAGUCGGCCAACCAGUGGUGCAGUCUACUUCUUUUGGGUUGAGGGGUCUCCUCAGUAUCGUCCCUUCCAUGAUUCACCAGAAAGACGUUACCAGACCCUACCACUUACCCAAAGUUACUCUUUGGGUCUGGGGUUUCCACACUAUAGUCACUUCUGUGGUCGCCAGAAAGAUGUUACAGGACCCCAUCACUUAACCAAAGUAAACCUUUGAGUCAAGGGUUUCCACACUAUGGUUCUUUCCAUGGUCACCAGAAAGAUGUUACAGGAAAGGGGUCCCAAUCCAGACCCCGAGAGAGGGUUCUUGGAUCUCACGCAAGAAAGAAUUCAGUGCAAGUUCAUGAAGUGAAAGCAAAUUUAUUAAGAAAGUAAAGGAAUAAAAAAAGGGCUACCCAUAGACAAAGCAGCCCUGAGGGCUGCUGGUUGCCCAUUUUUAUGGUUAUUUCUUGAUGAUAUGCUAAUCAGGGUGUGGAUUAUUCAUGUCUCCCCUUUUUAGACCAUAUAGGGUAGCAUCCUGACGUUGCCAUGGCACCUGCAAACUGUCAUGGUGCUGGUGGGAGUGUAGCAGUGAGGAUGACCAGAGGUCACUCUUGUGGCCAUCUUGGUUUUGGUGGGAUUUAGCCAGCUUCCUUAUUGCAGCCUGUUUUAUCAGCAAGGUCUUUAAGACCUGUAUCUUGUGCUGACCUCCUAUCUCAUCCUGUGACUUAGACUACCUAACCAUCGGGGAAUGCAGCCCAGUAGGUCUCAGCCUCAUUUUACCCAGCUCAUAUUCAAGAUGGAGUUGCUCUGGUUCACACGUCUCUGACAGGUAGAUUCAAAAAUUUCCUGAUUGGCAAUGGGUUGAAAGAGUUAAGCUUUGUCUAAAAAGUUGAACUCAGCUUGAGUUAAGGUGGGGGCGGGGGUGGUUGUGGAAGCCAAGGUUUUUGUUAUGUUGAUGAAGCCUCCGGAUGGCAGGCUUCAGAGAGAAUAGAUGUGCAUGUCUCUUAUAGGCCCUUAAAAGGUGUCAGAGUCUCCAGAAAAAGCCUAAUAAGGGAAGCAGAUUCUCUGCAGAAUGCACAUUUCCCCCAUGAGAGACAGCUUUGCAAGGGCCAUUUCAACAUAUGUCAAGGAAAUAUAUUUUGAGGUAAAAUACUUUGAUUCCUUCGGGGCUACUAUGUGUCAUGUGAUGCUAUACCGGAGUCCCGUUGAAUUGGGUAUCUUAUUGCUACAGAGAGUCUGUUUUGUCAGUCUAGGAUCUCUGUUUUUAUUUUAAUGUUGGUCAGUUGUGUCUAAAUUCCAGAGCGGGGCAGGUAUAAUGGGGCAUCCCGAGCCCUCCUUCCCAUUCAUGGCCUGAACUGGUUUUUCAGGUUUCUUUGGGUCCCGGUGGCUGCAAGGGGAUGCACUCAGUUGGCUGGGGGACUUAGAAUUUUAGUUUUGGUUUACAGCAGGAUUUGAUGGGCAUGCAUAUUUAUCAAUGUGAAAGUGUUGUCUGUGGGCGGCGGAGGGCUUGGGCCGUGUCCAGGCCACGCACUGCAAGGGUGCAGCCCCCACACACGGUCCCUGCUCCUAAAGCUGUUGCCCCCACUGCAAGAGUGGAGUAGGUUGAGGUGUAGCCAUGACAUUCUGGAAACUACAUUUUUUGUAAUAGUCAUUUUGAAAAUAAAACAUUUGAAAAUACUGUGCAGCAAAAACUUGAAUAAUUGGAAUAAAAAUGUUCAGUUUAAUGUCAUUGCUUGCUGCCACCGUUUUCUGAUUGUAAAACUAACGUGAUUAUUAGGUACUAUUUUGGUAAUGUAGAAAACUUUAAAGAUGAAAAUAGAUAUCACUUAUAACUCCACAUGGAGAAAUAGUUGCCCCUCCAAUUUAAUUGAUUUACUUUUGGGCCACAGGGGCCCAGAAUUUGAUUCAUUGUACUCCUUGGUUCAUGCCAGUGUUCCUGCACCCAGCACUGAAGCUGAACAUUGACAGUGAUUUGCCCCUGCCCCAGAGUCCUCCCUGCAUUCCCCUCGAGGGCCCCCGUCUCCUGGCCCUGGUGUCCACUUUUCUCUCAGCUGCUGGGAACGUGUUAGUGUGCACUGUUCUCCUUUCCCUCACCUGCUGGCUUCAUGUUAGCAUGCACCGUUCUGCUCACUUUCUUCCCCUCACCUGCCGGGAUCAUCUUAGCAUGCACCAUUCUGCUCACUUUCUUCCUCUCACCUGCCAGGAUCAUGUAAGCGUGCACCGUUCUCCACACUUUCUUCCUCUCACCUGCCGGGAUCACGUUAGCAUGCACCAUUCUGCACACUUCCUUCCCCUCAUCUGCCAGGGUCAUCUUAGCAUGCACCAUUCUGCUCACUUCACCUUCUUCUUCUCGCCUGCUGGGAUCAUGUUAGUGUGCACUGUUCUGCACACUUUCUUCCUCUCCCCUGCUGGGAUCAUGUUAGUGUGCACCGUUCUGCACACUUUCUUCCUCUCACCUGCUGGGAUCAUCUUAGCAUGCACCAUUCUGCUCACUUUCUUCCUGUCACCUGCUGGGAUCAUGUUGGCGUGCACCAUUCUGCACACUUUCUUCCUCUCGCCUGCUGGGAUCAUGUUAGCGUGCACAGUUCUGCAUACUUGCUUCCCCUCACCUGCCAGGAACAGGUUAGUGUUCCCCAUUCUGCACACUUUCUUCCUCUCACCUGCCGGGAUCAUGUUAGCGUACACCAUUCUGCACACUUUCUUCCUCUGUGUACGUGUGUGUGGUUUUCCUUUCAGAAAUGGGUCAUACUCUGUGGACAUCUUUUUCCACUUAAAGUGAUGGCACAGCCAUUUUCCCAGUCAAGUAACAUGAAUGUACAAGUUUAGCAAACUUCCUCCUGAGAGAUGGAGAGAUCAAGGCUUCUGCUCCGUGGCAGCCAUCCGUGCACAUGCAUCACUGUGCGUGAGUUGGUCCCAGUGGCUUGCUGAGACAUGCUCUGCACAGGGGAGAUUUCUUAUACCAGCAGUGUGGGAGGCAGUGGGGCAGGUAGAGCCACAAGUGGGGAUGAGGGAGCAGAGUCUAGGGCAGGCUCCUGGAUGGACACCAGCUACACUGUCUAUUGGAUGUGGGACUUCCCUCACUGAUGAAAUGAAUAAGAGAAUCUUCCUCAUCCUGCUGUUGUUGGCGUUAAAACGGGUUAAUGCAUGAAAGCAACAAAGCCCGGCCUGCAGACAGCACAUGGUAAGUCUCCUCUUCCCAGCAUGUUCAACAGGAAGCCCUCAUUCCCUCUAGAAUGUAGGAGUCUUGCCAGCAGUGGCCUGUUUGUUCUCUGCCUGUUGCCGACCUGAUGAGAACAUAAAAUUGGUGUCUUCUGUAUAGAUUUCCUUCUUAUUGCCCCUACUGUGGCUGAACAUACCUUCCCCCGUGCUUGAAGUCUGUUCAUAUAUGUUCUGCUGUGAUAACUGCCCAUUCUUGUUCUCUAUCUAAGAAGGCAUUUAGUUUUGAAAAUAUUUUGUUGGCUUGUAAGAUAUUUGUACAUAUUAAGCACAGCAAACCUGUAACAUAUUCACUGUAAAUCAUUAUUCCUCAUGCAUCAUUUGCCAUUUAACUGUAUUUUUUUCCUUUUUGAUGUAACCUGCUAUAGUUUACAUUUUUAAAUCAGAAAUGCCUGCACAUUUUAAAACGAAGACUCUUAUGCUCUAGCCUUUGAGGUCAUGCUUGGAAAGUCCUUUCUCACACAAAGAUUAUUUACACUUUCAUCUCUUUUUCUCUGAGUACGUUUCAGUGUUUAAUUGACCAGGAAUGUAUUUCGAGGUGUGAUAUGAGACAAGGAUCUGAAAUGCUUUGCCCACUGAAUCAUCAUGCACUGACCGAAAUGCCACCUGUAUGAGUGCUAAAAUCAUUGUCGCUGGACCUGUGUCUGCACUGUUUAAUUUUAGUGUUGUUUCUCACAUCAGCUUCUGUUGUUUUCAUGGUUGUGGUUCUCAUACUUUUAAUAUCUGUUGGAGCAAAUAAAGCCUCGUUUCUCAUCUUUUCCAAAAA